Molecule: ribosomal RNA, 454 nt
Filed under: uncultured Prevotella sp.
Lineage: Bacteria; Pseudomonadati; Bacteroidota; Bacteroidia; Bacteroidales; Prevotellaceae
Description: bacterial SSU rRNA
Rfam family: Bacterial small subunit ribosomal RNA
Source: RNAcentral
ACGGGAGGCAGCAGUGAGGAAUAUUGGUCAAUGGGCGAGAGCCUGAACCAGCCAAGUAGCGUGCAGGAUGACGGCCCUAUGGGUUGUAAACUGCUUUUAUGAGGGAAUAAAGUCAUCUACGUGUAGAUGUUUGCAUGUACCUUAUGAAUAAGGGCCGGCUAAUUCCGUGCCAGCAGCCGCGGUAAUACGGAAGGUCCGGGCGUUAUCCGGAUUUAUUGGGUUUAAAGGGAGCGUAGGCGGCCUUUUAAGCGUGUUGUGAAAUGUCCCGGCUCAACCGCGGCACUGCAGCGCGAACUGGAGGGCUUGAGUGCGCAGGAAGUAGGCGGAAUUCGUCGUGUAGCGGUGAAAUGCUUAGAUAUGACGAAGAACUCCGCUUGCGAAGGCAGCCUUCUGGAGUGCGAUUGACGCUGAGGCUCGAAAGCGCGGGUAUCAAACAGGAUUAGAUACCCUGGUA